AGUGGCGGACGGGUGAGUAACGCGUAGGAAUCUGUCCAUUAGUCUGGGACAACACGGGGAAACUCGUGCUAAUACCGGAUACGCUCUAUUGAGGAAAGGCGGGAGCUUGCUCCUGUCACUAAUGGGUGAGCCUGCGUUGGAUUAGCUUGUUGGUGGGGUAAAGGCCUACCAAGGCGGUGAUCCAUAGCUGUUCUGAGAGGAAGAUCAGCCACACUGGGACUGAGACACGGCCCAGACUCCUACGGGAGGCAGCAGUGGGGAAUAUUGGACAAUGGGGGCAACCCUGAUCCAGCAAUACCGCGUGUGUGAAGAAGGCCUGAGGGUUGUAAAGCACUUUCAGCGAGGAGGAAGGCUAUAAGGUUAAUACCCUUAUAGAUUGACGUUACUCGCAGAAGAAGCACCGGCUAACUCUGUGCCAGCAGCCGCGGUAAUACAGAGGGUGCAAGCGUUAAUCGGAAUUACUGGGCGUAAAGCGUGCGUAGGCGGAAUAAUAAGUCAGAUGUGAAAGCCCCGGGCUCAACCUGGGAACUGCAUCUGAUACUGUUAAUCUAGAGUAUGGCAGAGGAUAGUGGAAUUUCUAGUGUAGCGGUGAAAUGCGUAGAUAUUAGAAGGAACACCAGUGGCGAAGGCGACUGUCUGGGCCGAUACUGACGCUGAGGUACGAAAGCGUGGGUAGCGAACAGGAUUAGAUACCCUGGUAGUCCACGCCGUANACGAUGAGGACUAGCUGUUGGUCAUAUUAAAAUGAUUGGUAGCGAAGCAAACGCGAUAAGUUCUCCGCCUGGGGAGUAC
RNAcentral lists this ribosomal RNA (792 nucleotides) under uncultured marine bacterium. RNAcentral describes it as "bacterial SSU rRNA". It matches the Rfam family "Bacterial small subunit ribosomal RNA", at positions 94 to 883 of the family's 1533-position model. The record is from RNAcentral.